This is a non-coding RNA of Fukomys damarensis (Damara mole-rat), 106 nucleotides long. The record is from Rfam. NCBI's taxonomy places the organism in Eukaryota, Metazoa, Chordata, Mammalia, Rodentia, Bathyergidae.
AUCCUUUGUUUGGUUCAUAACCAUGAUGAUUGAAUGCUCCUGCCACUGUGUGAGAUGUGCUUCCCACUAAACCUUGUAACAAAGUCAGUGCAUUACCCAGGAGAAG